Molecule: ribosomal RNA, 216 nt
Filed under: Glomeromycotina sp.
Lineage: Eukaryota; Fungi; Glomeromycota
Description: partial small subunit ribosomal RNA
Rfam family: Eukaryotic small subunit ribosomal RNA (bases 44-216)
Source: RNAcentral
GGGUCAGUAGGUUGGUCGUGCCACCGGUACGUACUGGUCCCACUGAUUCCUCAUUCCUGAAGAACCGUAAUGCCAUUAAUUUGGUGUUGCGGGGAAACAGGACUGUUACUUUGAAAAAAUUAGAGUGUUUAAAGCAAGAUAACGCUUGAAUACAUUAGCAUGGAAUAAUGAAAUAGGACGAUCGAUCCUAUUUUGUUGGUUUCUAGGAUUGACGUA